GGAAACGGAUGCUAAUACCCCAUAGGUGGAUUGGUCGCAUGGCGAAUUCAUUAAAGGUGGCUUUGCUACCACUCAUGGAUAGCCUCGCGGCGUAUUAGCUAGUUGGUAAGGUAAUGGCUUACCAAGGCAGUGAUACGUAGCCGACUUGAGAGGGUGAUCGGCCACAUUGGGACUGAGAUACGGCCCAG
RNAcentral lists this ribosomal RNA (188 nucleotides) under uncultured Carnobacteriaceae bacterium. RNAcentral's name for it is "partial 16S ribosomal RNA". It matches the Rfam family "Bacterial small subunit ribosomal RNA", at positions 152 to 334 of the family's 1533-position model. The record is from RNAcentral. Lineage: Bacteria; Bacillati; Bacillota; Bacilli; Lactobacillales; Carnobacteriaceae.